Molecule: ribosomal RNA, 873 nt
Filed under: uncultured bacterium
Lineage: Bacteria
Description: bacterial SSU rRNA
Rfam family: Bacterial small subunit ribosomal RNA
Source: RNAcentral
GAUUUGUUUGAUCCUUGGCUCAGGGAUGAACGCUAGCGGCAGGCUUAAUACAUGCAAAGUCGAGGGGCAGCAGCUUUAUAGCAAUAUAGAGGCUGGCGACCGGCAAACGGGUGCGGAACACGUACACAACCUUCCUUUAAGAGGGGGAUAGCCCAUAGAAAUGUGGAUUAAUACCCCGUAACAUAUCGGUGUGGCAUCACACUGUUAUUAUAGUUUCGACGCUUGAAGAUGGGUGUGCGGCUGAUUAGGUAGUUGGCGGGGUAAAGGCCCACCAAGCCUUCGAUCAGUAGCUGAUGUGAGAGCAUGAUCAGCCACACGGGCACUGAGACACGGGCCCGACUCCUACGGGAGGCAGCAGUAAGGAAUAUUGGUCAAUGGACGCAAGUCUGAACCAGCCAUGCCGCGUGAAGGAUGAAGGUCCUCUGGAUUGUAAACUUCUUUUAUAGGGGGCGAAAAAAGGGAAUUCUUUCUCACUUGACAGUACCCUAUGAAUAAGCACCGGCUAACUCCGUGCCAGCAGCCGCGGUAAUACGGAGGGUGCAAGCGUUAUCCGGAUUCACUGGGUUUAAAGGGUGCGUAGGCGGAUAGGUAAGUCAGGGGUGAAAUCCUGGAGCUUAACUCCAGAACUGCCUUUGAUACUAUCUAUCUUGAAUAUGGUGGAGGUAAGCGGAAUAUGUCAUGUAGCGGUGAAAUGCAUAGAUAUGACAUAGAACACCUAUUGCGAAGGCAGCUUACUACGCCUAUAUUGACGCUGAGGCACGAAAGCGUGGGGAUCAAACAGGAUUAGAUACCCUGGUAGUCCACGCCCUAAACGAUGAUUACUCGACGUAUGCGAUACACAGUAUGCGUCUGAGCGAAAGCAUAAGUAUCCAC